CCUACGGGAGGCAGCAGUAGGGAAUCUUCCACAAUGGACGAAAGUCUGAUGGAGCAACGCCGCGUGCGUGAAGAAGGGUUUCGGCUCGUAAAGCUCUGUUGGUAGGGAAGAAAGAUAGAGGUAGUAACUGGCCUUUAUUUGACGGUAAUUGCUUAGAAAGUCACGGCUAACUACGUGGCAGCAGCCGCGGUAAUACGUAGGGGGCAAGCGUUGUCCGGAUUUAUUGGGCGUAAAGCGAGUGCAGGCGGUUCAAUAAGUCUGAUGUGAAAGCCUUCGGCUCAACCGUAGAAUUGCAUCAGAAACUGGUGGACUUGAGUGCAGAAAGGGAUGGUGGAACUCCAUGUGUAGCGGUGGAAUGCGUAGAUAUAUGGAAGAACUCCGGUGGCGAAGGCGAGUCUCUGGUCUGCAACUGACGCUGAGGCUCGAAAGCAUGGGUAGCAAACAGGAUUAGAUACCCCUGUAGUC
This 465-nucleotide ribosomal RNA is filed under the name uncultured bacterium. RNAcentral's name for it is "partial 16S ribosomal RNA". It matches the Rfam family "Bacterial small subunit ribosomal RNA", at positions 338 to 795 of the family's 1533-position model. The record is from RNAcentral.